Long non-coding RNA from Eleginops maclovinus (Patagonian blennie), 775 nucleotides. RefSeq lists it as uncharacterized. The transcript has 3 exons. The record is from RefSeq and is a predicted model, not a curated record. NCBI's taxonomy places the organism in Eukaryota, Metazoa, Chordata, Actinopteri, Perciformes, Eleginopidae.
AGGGAGAGGAGCAGGUCAAGGAGGUAGAGGAGCGGGCCAAGGAGGGAGAGGAGCAGGUCAAGGAGGUAGAGGAGCGGGCCAAGGAGGGAGAGGAGCAGGUCAAGGAGGUAGAGGAGCGGGCCAAGGAGGGAGAGGAGCAGGUCAAGGAGGUAGAGGAGCAGGCCAAGGAGGGAGAGGAGAAGGAGGGCGAGCAAGACAACGCAUCUUCAUCACAGAUGAAAUGAGAGCAACGGUCAUUGACCACGUCAAUUGUCCACGGCAUGACAAUGACCGAAGCUGGACAACGAGUCCAACCAAACCUAAGCCGAUUCUCAGUGGCCACCAUUAUUCGGGCCUUCAGAGAACACAACAGAGUUGAAAGAUUGCCAUAUGCAGGUGGGAGGGCUUCCAGAUUCACACCAGCCCAAGAGGUCGUCAUUGUGGAUAUGGUUCGGGAGAACAAUGUGCUGAGACUACGGGAGAUACGGGAGAGGAUCAUUGGUGACAAUAUGAACUUUCCGAACAUUGACGAUGUUAGCCUGACAACCAUAGACAGAGUCCUCAAGCGCCAGAGAGUACGCAUGAAGCAGGCCUAUAGGGUACCCUUUGAGCGCAACUCUGACAGAAUAAAGCACCUCCGUCACCAGUAUGUGCAAAGGAUCUUCGAGUUGGAGUCCAUGGCCAGACCCCAUGAAUUUAUAUUUGUGGAUGAGGCUGGCUUCAACCUCACAAAAAGGAGGAGGAGAGGCCGUAACAUCAUAGGACAGAGAGCUAUCGUUGAUGUGCCCGGCCAACG